AAUACAUUUUUACAAUACUGUGAACAAACCAGAGUGUAUAAAACAUGUAAUAUAUUAUAUAUUUAGCAAUGAAUGUUUUAUCAUGGAAUAUUGCUUAUAAUAUUUUUUAUCGAUGGAGAUAGUUGGAGUUAAGAGUACUGAUAGGCGAGCGGUGAAAUGCAUUGACCCUAUUAAGACUAACAAAAGCGAAAGCACUUAACUAGAUUAUUCUCUUUGUAUUAUUACAAUGAAGAGCGAAGGUUGGGGGAACAAAGAGGAUCAGAUACCCUCGUAGUCCUAUUUUUACAUCAAACUAUGGGAUUUCAAUCACACUCCUUACUAACAUAAAAUAUAUAAUAUAUAAUAUAAUUGAGUCGUAAAUACAACUCUUAUAUUUAAUUAUUAUUUUUAUUAUUCAUUAUAUGUACUUUGAGCUCAUAUAAUUAUAUAGGUGAGAUGUAAGCAUUAUAGGUGAAUAAUAUAUAAGUAAUAUUAUAUUAUUAUGAUCCUUAUUUAUAAAAAUGUAAUGUGAUG
RNAcentral lists this ribosomal RNA (513 nucleotides) under Sorites sp. P244_1646x. RNAcentral describes it as "bacterial SSU rRNA". The stretch from base 16 to 215 matches the Rfam family "Eukaryotic small subunit ribosomal RNA", at positions 753 to 974 of the family's 1831-position model. Lineage: Eukaryota; Foraminifera; Miliolida; Soritidae. RNAcentral also lists the same sequence under 18 other names. The record is from RNAcentral.